GUCCAGAGUUUCGAUGAGGGAAGUGUACCUGGGAGCUGCAAUGGUCCAGUGGACCCUGGAGGUGCAUUUGGUUUUUAAAACACCCUAGCAACUGCAUAGCAAUUUUCAAAGCCCUGCUAACUGCCCUUGCAUAGCAGACAUAACAUUUAGUAGCAAGUUUUGAACAGGAUAAAGCCCCUUUAACACCAAGAGCAAAAGUUAUAACGAUAUUAGUGUAGACACCAGCAGACAAUAUUGUAUGUUAAUUCUAAGCACACGCUCAUCUGCUGUUUUUAAUUCUGGAGCUCCUUAUAGCAGGAUGGAUUCUGAUUGGGUGUCAAUGUUUGUAUCAUUCAUCAUUUGGAAAAAGAAUCACUCUGAAAGUGAUUCCAACAUUAUCGUUUCUCUGUGCCUUUUAUUGUUAUAGCUGUGGUGUUGACGCUGCUAUGCUUUAAUAUUGAGAAUGGUUUUUAGAACUACACUAUCUGUAUCGAUACCUUUAUAGUUAUCCUUAUCUUAUCUUUACCUCUGUCCUUAUCUUAUCUAUAUCUUUAUACUUAAAGAUAGUCCUAUAGUCCUUGGUGUGAAUGGGCCUUAACAUCUGAACUUCUGAAAAAAGUUCUGAUUUAAAAUGCAAUAUCGGUCCUUUUGCUUCCUGAAAAGCGAAAGUUUGUAAAAGCCACCGUGUGGAUUCAAAUAGUUUACUUAGGACAAUUUCCAUCUCUGAUAUUAUGCAAAUGUGAUUUUCGUAUGUGCAGCAGGCUAUAUGGUUUAUAGUUGAGGUAAUGUCCACCUGACCACGGUGCUAUGGUAAAAUGGAGUUGUUUGUUUAUUCUGAUAAAGUGGCUUUAGUGUUCUUGAACGCUUGUGAGAUGUGGACGCAUGCUUAUCUUGAUCUUGGUUCAUUGUAGGUGAACGAAACGGGUCUUGCGUGAUGAGAACAAACAGUUGUCAGUCAGACAGCAGCGGCUUCCUAGAGGAGCCCUUCAUACCUGCGCUAUCCCCGCAAAACAGCCCAGGACCCAAGCUCACGAAGAUGCUGAAUGCAAUAUCAAAAGAUAGUAAAGAGGAUCAACAGAAGAGAUUACAACAGCGAGAAAUGGAGGAUCCCCCUGCAGGUGAACCGAAUUGUGAAAUGGAGUCAAACCAAAAACCCUCGCCUACAAAAGACUCUGGCAAAACUGUUUUGGGAACAGCAGACUCUGAAACUAUGUUUGACUCAGGAGAGUUGAGGAAAAUAAGAAGUGAAAAAGAAAUCACUUUAUCCCCAGAUAUUAGUAAAGUUGGCAGAAAUAAUGUUUACACUCUAGCAUACUUUGUUCAAAUGGAUCCAGUCCAAAAUUAUCCUACCGAAAUUCGUGACCGACUGCGCGGAUCAAUUAGUCCAGACAGUCGUGUUUAUAGGGAGGGCAUGUCCUUGCUUGAGGAACUGAAAUCUGCUGAGACGAACUCACACUUGAGUCCUACUGAUCUGAGGACAGAUGUUUUGGAAAAGGGGGUGGGUAACUUUACAAAUAACCUUGAGGUGAGCAAAAAAGAUCCAGCUUUGGAUUUGAUUCAGGAAUCUCCUGCUUCUACCCACAACAAAACCGUGACCUCUGAUGCAGCCGCUGGACACAAUUCCCCCACAGCACUCAAACUCAGGAGAGAGUCUUUCUCCAGGAGAUCCUGGUCUGAUGGGAUCACAGAUAAUGACUCAGGAACAGCACAAACACCCACUACACAGACACCAUUCACAUCUGUGGACACAUCCCCACCUCACUUAUGGAACUCAGUGGAAAGUUCUGGAGAUCUUGGGCGUUUGCAUACGCGGUCGAUAUCUCUGGACACGGGACUGUCUUGUGAGGAGGAGGAUCACAGACUGCAGGAUGCAUUGGGGGCAGGGGCGCAGAGAUGCUUCUACUGUGGGUCCCAGAUUGGCUACGACAAUGGCUGGGCAAAACCUAAACCUGAUCUGUCUUCCAGUCUGCCUUACUCUCUGGAUGAGUUUGAAGACAUGGUGAAAUGUUUGAGGAAGUUCCAGGCAGUUCUGACAGAAAUCGAAGAGAGACUAGAAGAAGAACACGCAUCCGUGAUCAGAUCUCUGUCAGAUUCCCACAGGGAGGAAGUGGAAGAUGUUUUGAGGCUACGAGAAGCUGUCAAACAUGAAGCUGGGACGCUUGAACAGCAGCUGUCUGAUCUGGUACAUCACUCUGAUGACAGCAUUAAAAUGAAGCUGAAUCGGCUCAUGGACGAACAGUCUCAGCUGUGCACCCAACUGCAAAUUACCCCCUCUGAUAUGCAUCAUUCAGAGCCCACCUCUACCAGGAGCGUGGCCAUUCAGUGCUGCCUGCCGCCCGUCACGUCCAGUCAACAGCAGUGUGUCCAUCAUCACUGCACCUGUCAUGGGGCAUGUCAAGAUCCACACCGGUUCCCCUGUCAAACCCAAUGGGAGGCCAAUUACAAACCAGACAGGCUAGACUUCGUAGCUUUUAUUAAAAGUUUGAAAAAUUCACUACAACAUUCAAUGAAAAAUAAUUCAUUGGAAUAAGGUUUGUUAUCUUCUUUAGUCUGAAAUCAAAAGUUAAUUUUACUUAAUGACCCAAUAAAAUAAUUUGUUGAUAAUGGUUUAUAUUUUGUAAAUAUAACUUUCCCUCCACAUUCUGAUUUUACAUCUUGUAAUUCAGUUAUUUUUGUUUCUACCACAGAAUUAAAAAAGAUGACUGGGACUUUUUAUCUUUUUUUCUCACAUUUGCAAGUGUAUAUCUGACUUUUCACAAUAAUUGACUUAAUAUCUUACAAUUCUGACUUGUCUCAUUGUGAGAAAGAGAGCAUAACUGUGAUAUAUAUUGUCUAAAAAAAUUACAGAAUUUAUCAUGUGGCAGAAACCAGUUUCUAUAAAUAUAUAUGAGAAAAAAAAUACAAAUAUUUUAUGAGGUCUGAGUGGAAUUUAAUUUGACUUGAAUGCAACAUACAAAACCAAUAAUUUUGUUCUUUCCUUUAAUGUAGUGAUGCAGCAGUGAUGAAGACCCAUUUCACCGUUUUUUUGAAAGUCACUUAUAAAGUGAAGUGCUGACUCUUGAGCACAGAACUAAUAAAGAAUUAUGAAUAUACUAUUAUCAUGCGUCCACUUGAGUUUUUAUGUGUGCACAGACGUCUCUUAAUGUAGAGUGAACCUCCUCCCAGUAGCCUAACCGUCUCUCCUGCUCUCUUCAUCUUUGUGUCUUUGUAAUGAAACACUUCAUAUCAUUGUGGUGUUGCACUUACCAUAUAAGGAAACUGCUGCUCUCCUGAAGAAGCAGUGGAUGACAUAGUGCUGGUCCCCCGGUCUGAUUGGACAAUGAUCUGAUGGUUCCUCCACUGUUCCUGAGAUGCUCUCUCCAGCAGUUAUGGCCCAGUCUCAGGAACUGAAACCAUUUGCUGUUGAAAAUGUCAGUUGGCCUACUUUUUAAUAACUUCAUUUAAGAACGUUGUUGAACCUUAGAAAUAAACUUUUCCCAACUGGGACAGCUAUGGGGACCAUUUAAUACUAAUAGUGUUACAUUUUAGAAUAAAAAACUAUUCAUAGAUUUAAAAAAUCCAAAGGUAGCUAUUAUAAGUCAUCAUAACAGUUUUUAAAACACGUUUUGUGCAAUAACCAUUCAAUUGUUUAUCAUAUUAAAAAUAUUUUGGGCAAUGUUAAGGAGUUUUAAGCCAAUGUUGCUGUUAAAAUGCUUUGUGCCUACAAACUAUUCAAUGUUUUGCCAAGUAACAGAACAAUACGGAGUAAUAAUAACACUGUGAGAAACAUAGCUACCUGUUUGAAACGUUUUAGCAAAAAUAGGCCUCCUUCGAUGUCACUUCCUCAAAUAUGUUCUCAGAAAUACAAAAAUUAUAUUGGUUCAAAUCGUUGUCCUACCACCUAAACAAACGUAAAUGUAUCAAAGAAACAGAUCAGUAUGUGUUUAAAAUAUCAGUUAAAAAGGCGCUUUCAGAAUUUAGGGAUCAUGUGUAAAGUGCCACACUGUAUCCUUAUCCAGACUGACCAGGUUUUUACGUUUACAUUUAUGUUCUUGGCAGACGCUCCCUUACCAGGCGUAUAGGUUGGCAUAUGGACUUGUUGUGUUCAACAGGGUAGUAGAGUAUGGUUCAGUGAAUGAAAAUAUAAUAAAAACCACUUCACACGGGAGGAAGAAACACCAUUCACAUCAGAGGAGAAUAGAAAGACAUCAAAGCCUGUCAAUAAACAAUGUCCACAUUGUUUUCCAUUAUUAUUCAUUUCCUCUUAUUCACGCUCUCAACUAUGGUAGUCACGAGCUGUGGUGAGUGUAGAUGUGUAAAAUUAUGUUAAAUAUAAUUAGGCUAUUUAUGAUGUGGUAUAUUUAAAUUAUAUAUGGAUGCACUUAAAAUGAAAACCAAAUGAAGUGGGAAUAACUGAAGACAUAAUCUUAACACACUCCAUUUUACCAAACCUCACCUUCAUCGUGUUUGAAUCACUGCUUAAAGUGUUGAAGUUGUUUCAUUAACCUCGAUGACGUGUGUUCAUGGAAGCUGGGAUGAUUGACACAUGACAAGGGCCUCCGUCACCAUGACAACAGGCUCUAAAGGAGACAGAAAUAGAGGAGGCCCCUCCUCCUGAAGUACAUAACCCCUGUCUUUGAUCUGGCCUGCACUCGCUCUCCAUCUCUGCUGCACUGAGGUAAGGCCUCGCUCUUUCUUAUAAUUCACUUAUUUAGUUCUUUUCUAGAUUGAAAGAUAAAUACAAAAAUAUUUCAGAAGAUGUUAAUUAAUUAAAUAAUAGUUUUAAUAGUAAAAUGUUUGCAGUAUAUAAUCAAAGUUUUUUUUUUUGAGUAUUUAAACAGGUAUUUUUUUUUGUUUAAUGUUUUAUAAUUUAUUACCAUUUUAUAUAUAUAUAUAUAUAUAUAUAUAUAUAUAUAUAUAUAUAUAUAUAUGUUAUUUGUUACUUAUUGAAAUAUGAUUUAUU
This is a long non-coding RNA of Carassius auratus (goldfish), 4921 nucleotides long. The record is from Ensembl. NCBI's taxonomy places the organism in Eukaryota, Metazoa, Chordata, Actinopteri, Cypriniformes, Cyprinidae.